Molecule: ribosomal RNA, 397 nt
Filed under: uncultured bacterium
Lineage: Bacteria
Description: partial 16S ribosomal RNA
Rfam family: Bacterial small subunit ribosomal RNA
Source: RNAcentral
CCUACGGGAGGCAGCAGUGAGGAAUAUUGGUCAAUGGACGAAAGCCUGAACCAGCCAAGCCGCGUGAGGGAAGAAGGUCCUGCGAAUCGUAAACCUCUUUUGUAAGGGAACAAAGGCAGGUACUCGUCCCCGUCUGAAUGUACCUUACGAACAAGCAUCGGCUAACUCCGUGCCAGCCGCCGCGGUAAUCCGGAGGGUGCGAGCGUUAUCCGGAUUGAUUGGGUUUAAAGGGUGCGCAGGCGGUCUGGUAAGUCAGCGGUGAAAUCCCGGGGCUCAACCCCGGCAGGGCCGUUGAUACUGGCGGGCUGGAGGGGGGGUGAAGUAGGCGGAAUGUGUGGUGUAGCGGUGAAAUGCGUAGAGAUCGUGCAGAACACCGAUUGCGAAGGCAGCUUACCGG